Molecule: ribosomal RNA, 467 nt
Filed under: uncultured bacterium
Lineage: Bacteria
Description: partial 16S ribosomal RNA
Rfam family: Bacterial small subunit ribosomal RNA
Source: RNAcentral
GAUGAACGCUGGCGGCGUGCUUAACACAUGCAAGUCGAACGGAAAGGCCCAAGCUUGCUUGGGUACUCGAGUGGCGAACGGGUGAGUAACACGUGGGUGAUCUGCCCUGCACUUCGGGAUAAGCCUGGGAAACUGGGUCUAAUACCGGAUAGGACCACUUCUUGGAUGUUGUGGUGGAAAGUUUUUUCGGUGUGGGAUGAGCUCGCGGCCUAUCAGCUUGUUGGUGGGGUAUUGGCCUACCAAGGCGUCGACGGGUAGCCGGCCUGGGAGGGUGUACGGCCACAUUGGGCCUGAGAUACGGCCCAGACUCCUACGGGAGGCAGCAGGGGGGAAUAUUGCACAAUGGGCGCAAGCCUGAUGCAGCGACGCCGCGUGGGGGAUGACGGCCUUCGGGUUGUAAACUCCUUUCGCUAGGGACGAAGCGUUUUGUGACGGUACCUGGAGAAGAAGCACCGGCUAACUACGUG